GACGAACGCUGGCGGCGUGCUUAACACAUGCAAGUCGAACGGUGAAGCGCCUUCCUUUUUGGUGGGUGUGGAUGAGUGGCGAACGGGUGAGUAACACGUGAGUAACCUGCCCCCUUCUUCUGGAUAACCGCAUGAAAGUGUGGCUAAUACGGGAUAUUCUGGGUCUGUCGCAUGAUGGGUCUGGGAAAGAUAUUGUUUCGGUGGGGGAUGGGCUCGCGGCCUAUCAGCUUGUUGGUGGGGUGAUGGCCUACCAAGGCGGUGACGGGUAGCCGGCCUGUGAGGGUGGACGGUCACACUGGGACUGAGACACGGCCCAGACUCCUACGGGAGGCAGCAGUGGGGAAUAUUGCACAAUGGGCGCAAGCCUGAUGCAGCGACGCCGCGUGAGGGAUGGAGGCCUUCGGGUUGUGAACCUCUUUCGCCAGUGAAGCAGGCCUGCCUCGUUUGUGGGUGGGUUGACGGUAGCUGGAUAAGAAGCGCCGGCUAACUACGUG
Molecule: ribosomal RNA, 494 nt
Filed under: uncultured bacterium
Lineage: Bacteria
Description: partial 16S ribosomal RNA
Rfam family: Bacterial small subunit ribosomal RNA
Source: RNAcentral